RNAcentral lists this ribosomal RNA (912 nucleotides) under uncultured bacterium. RNAcentral describes it as "bacterial SSU rRNA". It matches the Rfam family "Bacterial small subunit ribosomal RNA", at positions 8 to 916 of the family's 1533-position model. The record is from RNAcentral.
AGAGUUUGAUCAUGGCUCAGAUUGAACGCUGGCGGCAUGCCUUACACAUGCAAGUCGAACGGCAGCACGGGAGCAAUCCUGGUGGCGAGUGGCGAACGGGUGAGUAAUAUAUCGGAACGUGCCCAGUAGUGGGGGAUAGCCCGGCGAAAGCCGGAUUAAUACCGCAUACGACCUGUGGGUGAAAGCGGGGGAUCGCAAGACCUCGCGCUAUUGGAGCGGCCGAUAUCAGAUUAGCUUGUUGGUGGGGUAAAAGCCCACCAAGGCGACGAUCUGUAGCUGGUCUGAGAGGACGACCAGCCACACUGGGACUGAGGCACGGCCCAGACUCCUACGGGAGGCAGCAGUGGGGAAUUUUGGACAAUGGGCGCAAGCCUGAUCCAGCCAUGCCGCGUGUGGGAAGAAGGCCUUCGGGUUGUAAACCACUUUUGUCAGGGAAGAAACGGUCUGAUCUAAUACAUUGGGCUAAUGACGGUACCUGAAGAAUAAGCACCGGCUAACUACGUGCCAGCAGCCGCGGUAAUACGUAGGGUGCAAGCGUUAAUCGGAAUUACUGGGCGUAAAGCGUGCGCAGGCGGCUUUGCAAGACAGAUGUGAAAUCCCCGGGCUCAACCUGGGAACUGCAUUUGUGACUGCAUGGCUAGAGUACGGUAGAGGGGGAUGGAAUUCCGCGUGUAGCAGUGAAAUGCGUAGAUAUGCGGAGGAACACCGAUGGCGAAGGCAAUCCCCUGGACCUGUACUGACGCUCAUGCACGAAAGCGUGGGGAGCAAACAGGAUUAGAUACCCUGGUAGUCCACGCCCUAAACGAUGUCAACUGGUUGUUGGACGGCUUGCUGUUCAGUAACGAAGCUAACGCGUGAAGUUGACCGCCUGGGGAGUACGGCCGCAAGGUUGAAACUCAAAUGAAUUGACGG